CAACAUUAAUUAUUCUAUGUGCUGCACUCUGGAUUGGAAGAUAGGCCCCAUCAGUGAUGUUGCAAUCAAGACAUCUAGGUACUUAAUUACCAUUUGGAAAAGUUAUGUGGCAAAUGGUCAAAUUUAUAAUAUAAUUUUCAUUUGGAAAAGAUCCUUAUUUUUGCAAAUAUGCUUUCACAUAUUUUUGUGGAAAUUUUGGAUCAUCUAGAGUAUUAGGAUUGUUUUGUAGUCAAGUCUUUGUCUGUUUAUUAAGAAUGAACAUUUUGCAAGUCUUUCUAGUUGUCCUAGUCUAGUUGAUAAGAAAUUGAGAUCCAUAAAUGUCCAUGUUGUGUUCUUCUUCUUCUUUUUUAUUUGAUAAUAA
This 361-nucleotide unclassified non-coding RNA is filed under the name Hevea brasiliensis (rubber tree). The record is from RNAcentral. Lineage: Eukaryota; Viridiplantae; Streptophyta; Magnoliopsida; Malpighiales; Euphorbiaceae.